This 475-nucleotide ribosomal RNA is filed under the name uncultured bacterium. RNAcentral describes it as "bacterial SSU rRNA". It matches the Rfam family "Bacterial small subunit ribosomal RNA", at positions 28 to 522 of the family's 1533-position model. The record is from RNAcentral.
GAUAAACGCUGGCGGCGUGCCUAAUGCAUGCAAGUCGCACGGGGUGUCCUUUCGGGGGCAUCGAGUGGCGAACGGGUGAGGAACGCGUGGACAACCUACCCCGGCGUGGGGGAUACCCGCCAGAAAUGGCGGCUAAUACCGCGUACGGUUGCUUGGCGGCGGGCUGGGCAAAGAAAGCAGCGAUGCGCGCUGGGAGGGGUCUGCGACCGAUUAGCUAGUUGGCGGGGUAGUGGCCCACCAAGGCGAUGAUCGGUAGCUGGUCUGAGAGGAUGAUCAGCCACACGGGGACUGAGAGACGGCCCCGACUCCUACGGGAGGCAGCAGCAAGGAAUUUUCCGCAAUGGGGGCAACCCUGACGGAGCAACGCCGCGUGACGGAUGACGCCUCUUGGGGUGUAAACGUCUUUUGCCGAGGGAGAGAAUGGACGGUACUCGGCGAAUCAGGACCGGCUAACUACGUGCCAGCCGCCGCAGAG